This 451-nucleotide ribosomal RNA is filed under the name uncultured Leptolinea sp. RNAcentral's name for it is "bacterial SSU rRNA". It matches the Rfam family "Bacterial small subunit ribosomal RNA", at positions 920 to 1378 of the family's 1533-position model. Lineage: Bacteria; Bacillati; Chloroflexota; Anaerolineae; Anaerolineales; Anaerolineaceae. The record is from RNAcentral.
CGGCCCGCACAAGCAGCGGAGCGUGUGGUUUAAUUCGAUGCUACACGAAGAACCUUACCAGGGUUUGACAUGCAAGUGGUAGGAACCGAAAGGCGACCGACCCUUCGGGGAGCUUGCACAGGUGCUGCAUGGCUGUCGUCAGCUCGUGUCGUGAGAUGUUCGGUUAAGUCCGCUAACGAGCGCAACCCUCGCUGUGUGUUACAAGUGUCACACGGUACUGCCGGUCUUAAGCCGGAGGAAGGUGGGGAUGACGUCAAGUCAGCAUGGCCUUUAUGUCCUGGGCUACACACACGCUACAAUGGCCAACACAAUAGGUUGCUAAGCCGCGAGGUGGAGCCAAUCCUCAAAGUUGGUCUCAGUUCAGAUUGCAGGCUGCAACCCGCCUGCAUGAAGAUGGAGUUGCUAGUAACCGCAGGUCAGCUAUACUGCGGUGAAUACGUUCCCGGGGCUU